AUACUAAGACAUCAUUUUUUAAUCUCUUUUACAUUCUUCACAAUGGAGAAAACCACUUCCAAGUUCCAAGUUCCAUCGCAUCUCCUUCCUCUGCACUUCAUCUUCUUCCUCGAUCCCAAUCGCAAUCUGAAUCCUUUUCCAGAUUCAGAUUCUCUUCUCAAUUUUGGUUAGCAUUUUUUCUCUUCUCAAUCGCAAUUUGAAUCACUUUGUUCUUCAAUUUCUCAUCUCUUAUUGACUUUGAUCCAGAUCUGAAUCAUGCAUACUUAAUUUCACGCCUCUAUUUCAUUCUCUCGUCACCUGCACUGCCGUUGUGCUGUCCUCUUCUUACCUACGCCAUCGUCUUCUCACUGCGCAGUCAUCUCUCGCCGAUUUCAUCGUUUGCUCAUCCCACGGCUUGUUCCUCAAUUGGAUGCAGAAUAAAUUUAGUGGAAAUCAAGGGAGCA
This is a non-coding RNA of Arachis ipaensis, 443 nucleotides long. The record is from RefSeq and is a predicted model, not a curated record. NCBI's taxonomy places the organism in Eukaryota, Viridiplantae, Streptophyta, Magnoliopsida, Fabales, Fabaceae.